GGGGGCGGGGCCGAGGGGACGUCGGGGGCGGGGCCAGGACGUAAGCCGCAGGCCGAGCGCAGUAUGGCUGCCGGGGGCGCGGCCCUGGGGCCCGCGGCUGGCGCUGCGACUCUCAGCCCCAUACACCGCGGACCUUCCUGGAGCCAGGACGCGGGUCAAGUGUGUAGAGCCGAUGACCAGGUCGGCGCAGCCGAGGAACCUGCAUCGUGUGGCGAAUGGACAGCUAAGGAGGGAGCAAAGCAUCCACCCCCUCUGAAGAAGUGAGAAUCAGACUGGCCAUUUCCCAUGCUGGGGUAUGUGAAAAGAUAGACCGAAGCGUAUUUUCGGAUAUUCAAGAGUUUCUUUGAACAAAAAAAAAACACCGAUUUGGAUGAGGCAGCAUCCAGCCCGGCGGCCAGAAUGGCGUUCACGGGAGCUGUGCAAAAUGAAGGACUUCGGGGCAUCAGGGAGUGGGAACGAGAAAGUCAGACUAGCCACGAAGUGAGAAAGUGAGUCUGUCGAUUGCCAAGUUACUUACCUUUAGGGGGUGGCGGGGAUCUUGUCACGCAGACACCUAACUAGUGCGUGAUCGGCUGGUGCAAGAUUCUGUCUGGGACAAAUGAAACUCACGGGGAGGAAGAAUUAGGAAGGUCCUUCUAGCUAGACGAGAAUCAAAUGGACAUGAGGCAGGUUAACAGGAGAAAACCAAAUUUAACACCACGUACAGGGAAUCAAAUCCAAGAGUAAUAGUGUGCAUAUGGGGGAAUCUGCACAGACAUGGAAAUUCCAAAGGCAGGAAGCAGGAUGCUUAUAUGAGCUUAGGAGAGGGCUGGGGGUCUGAGGAUACAAAGGGAGGGAGACCACUACUGGGAAGGUGAAGGAGAGAGGUUUGGAAAACAAAGGUGACCUAUUAUGCAAAUAAGUUUCUUAGGUAAAGAGGCAGCUCUAUGAAUAGCUCACUUCCUAGUAAGGCCUGCAGUUGAGGGGGAAGUAAAAAGUUUUUUCUGGAUCUGCUGGGUUUGGAUUGUUUUUAACUCAAAAUGAUGUUCAUGCCAAAGCGGCUUAUCUUGGGGCGAUCUGCCAUUGGCCCCUACACUAAUUCUCAGUUUGGUGAAGUGAGGCUUAACCUAAGCAACUUCAUUUAGGACCCAUUGUCUUGUUUUUUUUUGUUUGUUUUGUUUUGUUUUUUGACAAAUAACAGACACAGAUAAGAGACAGAUAAAACCAGCUGCAAAGGUAAAGGAAACAAUAUUUCUUUUUUUUUUUUAUUUUUAUUUAUUGAUGAUAGUCACAGAGAGAGAGGGAGAGGCAGAGACACAGGCAGAGGGAGAAGCAGGCUCCACGCACCGGGAGCCCGACGUGGGAUUCGAUCCCGGGUCUCCAGGAUCGCGCCCUGGGCCAAAGGCAGGCGCCAAACCACUGCGCCACCCAGGGAUCCCUGACCACCGCUUUCUUACUUAGAAUCCUUGUUCUCUAAAAUCAUGUGUCAGAAAACUUACUGUUUAAAGUCGUAUCAAUAAGAAUGAAACAUCCUGUUCUUCCUAUUUUGCAUGAUCUAAGUGAAUUUCAAAGAAGCAGCCUUUAUCUCCAUUUUACCUAAAAAGCCUCUAAUAAAGGCUUUCUGAACAUAUUCA
Molecule: long non-coding RNA, 1613 nt
Filed under: Canis lupus dingo (dingo)
Lineage: Eukaryota; Metazoa; Chordata; Mammalia; Carnivora; Canidae
Description: lncRNA (ENSCAFG00020026900.1)
Source: RNAcentral